GGGGGAAUCUUAGACAAUGGGGGCAACCCUGAUCUAGCCAUGCCGCGUGAGUGAAGAAGGCCUUAGGGUCGUAAUGCUCUUUCGCUGGGGAAGAUAAUGACGGUACCCAGUAAAGAAACCCCGGCUAACUCCGUGCCAGCAGCCGCGGUAAUACGGAGGGGGUUAGCGUUGUUCGGAAUUACUGGGCGUAAAGCGCGCGUAGGCGGAUCGGAAAGUUGGGGGUGAAAUCCCGGGGCUCAACCCUGGAAUG
RNAcentral lists this ribosomal RNA (250 nucleotides) under uncultured bacterium. Its description in RNAcentral is "partial 16S ribosomal RNA". It matches the Rfam family "Bacterial small subunit ribosomal RNA", at positions 355 to 622 of the family's 1533-position model. The record is from RNAcentral.